GAUGAAGAACGUUGCGAAAUGCGAUACGUAAUGUGAAUUGCAAAUUCAGUGAAUCAUCGAGUCUUUGAACGCACAUUGCGCCCCCUGGUAUUCCGGGGGGCAUGCCUGUCCGAGCGUCAUUGCUGCCCUCAAGCACGGCUUGUGUGUUGGGCCCCGUCCUCCGAUCCCGGGGGACGGGCCCGAAAGGCAGCGGCGGCACCGCGUCCGGUCCUCGAGCGUAUGGGGCUUUGUCACCCGCUCUGUAGGCCCGGCCGGCGCUUGCCGAUCAACCCAAAUUUUUAUCCAGGUUGACCUCGGAUCAGGUAGGGAUACCCGCUGAACUUAAGCAUAUCAAUAAGCGGAGGA
Molecule: unclassified non-coding RNA, 345 nt
Filed under: soil metagenome
Description: partial contains 5.8S ribosomal RNA, internal transcribed spacer 2, and large subunit ribosomal RNA
Rfam family: 5.8S ribosomal RNA (bases 1-119)
Source: RNAcentral